AAUAUUGUACAUUGGGCGAAAGCCUGAUCCAGCGAUUCCGCGUGUGUGAAGAAGGNCUNNGGAUUNUNAAGCACUUUAAGUUGNNNNNAAGGGCAGUAAGUUAAUACCUUGUUCUUGUGACGUUACCGACAGAAUAAGCACCGGCUAACUUCGUGCCAGCAGCCGCGGUAAUACGAAGGGUGCAUGCGUUAAUCGGAAUUACUGGGCGUAAAGCGCGCGUAAUGGGUUUGUUAAGUUGGAAGUGAAAGCCCCGGGCUCAACCUGGGAACUGCAUUCAAAACUGGCAAGCUAGAGUAUGGCAGAGGGUGGUGGAAUUUCCUGUGUAGCGGUGAAAUGCGUAGAUAUAGGAAGGAACACCAGUGGCGAAGGCGACUACCUGGACUGAUACUGACACUGAGGUGCAAAAGCGUGGGGAGCAAAC
Molecule: ribosomal RNA, 421 nt
Filed under: uncultured bacterium
Lineage: Bacteria
Description: partial 16S ribosomal RNA
Rfam family: Bacterial small subunit ribosomal RNA
Source: RNAcentral